AUGAUUAAAGAUAGCUUGCUAUUUUUAUGAAGAGCGGCGAACGGGUGAGUAACGCGUGGGAAAUCUGCCGAGUAGCGGGGGACAACGUUUGGAAACGAACGCUAAUACCGCAUAACAAUGAGAAUCGCAUGAUUCUUAUUUAAAAGAAGCAAUUGCUUCACUACUUGAUGAUCCCGCGUUGUAUUAGCUAGUUGGUAGUGUAAAGGACUACCAAGGCGAUGAUACAUAGCCGACCUGAGAGGGUGAUCGGCCACACUGGGACUGAGACACGGCCCAGACUCCUACGGGAGGCAGCAGUAGGGAAUCUUCGGCAAUGGGGGCAACCCUGACCGAGCAACGCCGCGUGAGUGAAGAAGGUUUUCGGAUCGUAAAACUCUGUUGUUAGAGAAGAACGUUAAGUAGAGUGGAAAAUUACUUAA
RNAcentral lists this ribosomal RNA (419 nucleotides) under Lactococcus garvieae. RNAcentral describes it as "bacterial SSU rRNA". It matches the Rfam family "Bacterial small subunit ribosomal RNA", at positions 66 to 472 of the family's 1533-position model. Lineage: Bacteria; Bacillati; Bacillota; Bacilli; Lactobacillales; Streptococcaceae. The record is from RNAcentral.